Molecule: ribosomal RNA, 492 nt
Filed under: uncultured bacterium
Lineage: Bacteria
Description: partial 16S ribosomal RNA
Rfam family: Bacterial small subunit ribosomal RNA
Source: RNAcentral
AGUGAACGCUGGCGGUAGGCCUAACACAUGCAAGUCGAACGGCAGCACAGUAAGCGCUUGCUCUUACGGGUGGCGAGUGGCGGACGGGUGAGGAAUACAUCGGAAUCUACUUUUUCGUGGGGGAUAACGUAGGGAAACUUACGCUAAUACCGCAUACGACCUACGGGUGAAAGCAGGGGAUCUUCGGACCUUGCGCGAUUGAAUGAGCUGAUGUCGGAUUAGCUAGUUGGCGGGGUAAAGGCCCACCAAGGCGACGAUCCGUAGCUGGUCUGAGAGGAUGAUCAGCCACACUGGAACUGAGACACGGUCCAGACUCCUACGGGAGGCAGCAGUGGGGAAUAUUGGACAAUGGGCGCAAGCCUGAUCCAGCCAUACCGCGUGGGUGAAGAAGGCCUUCGGGUUGUAAAGCCCUUUUAUUGGGAAAGAAAAGCAGCAGAUUAAUACCCCGCUGUUCUGACGGUACCCAAAGAAUAAGCACCGGCUAACUUCGUG